UACGUAGGUGGCAAGCGUUAUCCGGAAUUAUUGGGCGUAAAGGGUGCGUAGGCGGUUUAUUAAGUCUAUGGUGAAAGUGCGGGGCUCAACCCCGUAUGGCCAUAGAAACUAGUAGACUUGAGUGCAGGAGAGGGCAAUGGAAUUCCAUGUGUAGCGGUAAAAUGCGUAGAUAUAUGGAGGAACACCAGUGGCGAAGGCGGUUGCCUGGCCUGUAACUGACGCUGAAGCACGAAAGCGUGGGGAGCAAAUAGG
Molecule: ribosomal RNA, 252 nt
Filed under: uncultured bacterium
Lineage: Bacteria
Description: partial 16S ribosomal RNA
Rfam family: Bacterial small subunit ribosomal RNA
Source: RNAcentral